GGGUGAGUAAUGCCUAGGAAUCUGCCUGGUAGUGGGGGACAACGUCUCGAAAGGGACGCUAAUACCGCAUACGUCCUACGGGAGAAAGCAGGGGACCUUCGGGCCUUGCGCUAUCAGAUGAGCCUAGGUCGGAUUAGCUAGUUGGUGAGGUAAUGGCUCACCAAGGCGACGAUCCGUAACUGGUCUGAGAGGAUGAUCAGUCACACUGGAACUGAGACACGGUCCAGACUCCUACGGGAGGCAGCAGUGGGGAAUAUUGGACAAUGGGCGAAAGCCUGAUCCAGCCAUGCCGCGUGUGUGAAGAAGGUCUUCGGAUUGUAAAGCACUUUAAGUUGGGAGGAAGGGCAUUAACCUAAUACGUUAGUGUUUUGACGUUACCGACAGAAUAAGCACCGGCUAACUCUGUGCCAG
Molecule: ribosomal RNA, 411 nt
Filed under: bacterium SA019
Lineage: Bacteria
Description: bacterial SSU rRNA
Rfam family: Bacterial small subunit ribosomal RNA
Source: RNAcentral